RNAcentral lists this ribosomal RNA (511 nucleotides) under uncultured bacterium. RNAcentral describes it as "bacterial SSU rRNA". It matches the Rfam family "Bacterial small subunit ribosomal RNA", at positions 14 to 518 of the family's 1533-position model. The record is from RNAcentral.
CGAUUCUGGCUCAGGAUGAACGCUAGCGGCAGGCUUAACACAUGCAAGUCGAGGGGCAGCGUGGAGUAGCAAUACUCUGACGGCGACCGGCGAAAGGGUGAGUAACGCGUGAGCAACAUGCCCGGUAGUGGAGAAUAGUCGAUGGAAACGUCGCGUAAUACUCCGUAACAUAGGAGACCGCAUGAUCUUCUAUUAAUAGAUUUAUCGCUACCGGAUUGGCUCGCGUACCAUUAGCUAGUUGGCGGGGUAACGGCCCACCAAGGCGACGAUGGUUAGGGGUUCUGAGAGGAAGGUCCCCCACAUUGGAACUGAGACACGGUCCAGACUCCUACGGGAGGCAGCAGUGAGGAAUAUUGGACAAUGGCCGAGAGGCUGAUCCAGCCAUGCCGCGUGCGGGAAAGACGGCCCUAUGGGUUGUAAACCGCUUUUGUUGGGGAGCAAUAAGGUCCACGUGUGGAUCGAUGAGAGUACCCAGCGAAUAAGCAUCGGCUAACUCCGUGCCAGCAGCCGC